UGACUUAAGUGUCUUAAUGUCUUAAACCACGAGGGCUGAGGGAGGUGAUGAAGAGAUGUAACACAAGUGCCCUAAGUCGAGCUCAGGGAGGCCAGAAACCUCCUGUAUAGCAGAAGGGCAAAAGCUCACUUGAUCUUGAUUUUCAGUAUGAAUACAGACUGUGAAAGUAGGGCCUCACGGUUCUUCUGACUUUUUGGGUUUUAAGCAGAAGAUGUCAGAAA
RNAcentral lists this non-coding RNA (221 nucleotides) under Meleagris gallopavo (turkey). Its description in RNAcentral is "Eukaryotic large subunit ribosomal RNA". It matches the Rfam family "Eukaryotic large subunit ribosomal RNA", at positions 2555 to 2812 of the family's 3401-position model. The record is from Rfam by way of RNAcentral. Lineage: Eukaryota; Metazoa; Chordata; Aves; Galliformes; Phasianidae.